GCCUGGGUGGUUCAGUCGGUUGAGCAUCUGACUUCAGCUCAGGUCAUGAUCUCGCAGUUCAUGGGUUCGAGCCCCGCAUCAGGCU
RNAcentral lists this transfer RNA (85 nucleotides) under Felis catus (domestic cat). It matches the Rfam family "tRNA". Rfam says of the family: Transfer RNA (tRNA) molecules are approximately 80 nucleotides in length. Their secondary structure includes four short double-helical elements and three loops (D, anti-codon, and T loops). The record is from Rfam by way of RNAcentral. Lineage: Eukaryota; Metazoa; Chordata; Mammalia; Carnivora; Felidae. RNAcentral also lists the same sequence under 2 other names.